CUUUUUGGGUCUAGGUAGUUAUUUCUGCGUCAUGCUUGGUUCUUGGCCCAUUCAGUCUGGGCGGUCCGUGGGUACAUUCCAUCACCUUUUCCUGAUGUUACAUUCUCUCAGCAACCCUUUCGGUUGUUGAUAAUGGGCACGGCCCGAGGUUAAAUACUACUCCGUCUACAAACGGUCUGGUUUACUCCUAGUUGCUCCCAUCUCUCAGAGAGUGUUUCAGAGAGAGAUCUAAUGGUCAGAGAGGGACCUCAUUCCUACGCUGAUAUUAUUGAGCGUGAACCACCGCAUUCAC
Non-coding RNA from Pelobates cultripes (western spadefoot toad), 292 nucleotides. Lineage: Eukaryota; Metazoa; Chordata; Amphibia; Anura; Pelobatidae. The record is from the annotation of a GenBank genome assembly.